GAUGAACGUUGGCGGCGUGCCUAAUACAUGCAAGCCGAGCGAACAGACGAGGAACUUGCUCCUCUGACGUUAGCGGGGGACGGGGGAGUAACACUUGGAUAACCUACCUAUAAGACUGGGAUAACUCCGGGAAACCGAACCUAAUACCGGAUAAUUUAUUGAACCGCAUGGUCCAAUAGUGAAAGACGGUUUUCCGGUACCUUAUAGUUGUAUCCGCGCCGCAUUAGCUAGUUGGUAAGGUAACGGCUUACCAAGGCGACGAUGCGUAGCCGACCUGAGAGGGUGAUCGGCCACACUGGAACUGAGCCACGGUCCAGACUCCUACGGGAGGCAGCAGUAGGGAAUCUUCCGCAAUGGGCGAAAGCCUGACGGAGCAACGCCGCGUGAGUGAUGAAGGUCUUCGGAUCGUAAAACUCUGUUAUUAGGGAAGAACAAAUGUGUAAGUAACUAUGCACGUCUUGACGGUACCUAAUCAGAAAGCCACGGCUAACUACGUG
This 497-nucleotide ribosomal RNA is filed under the name uncultured bacterium. Its description in RNAcentral is "partial 16S ribosomal RNA". It matches the Rfam family "Bacterial small subunit ribosomal RNA", at positions 28 to 507 of the family's 1533-position model. The record is from RNAcentral.